RNAcentral lists this transfer RNA (71 nucleotides) under Candidatus Woesearchaeota archaeon. Its description in RNAcentral is "tRNA-His". It matches the Rfam family "tRNA". Rfam says of the family: Transfer RNA (tRNA) molecules are approximately 80 nucleotides in length. Their secondary structure includes four short double-helical elements and three loops (D, anti-codon, and T loops). Lineage: Archaea; Nanobdellati; Candidatus Woesearchaeota. The record is from RNAcentral.
GCGGCUGUAGUUUAAUGGCAGAACCCAGGACUGUGGAUCCUGUAGCGCGAGUUCGAUUCUCGCCAGCCGCC